UACGUAGGAGGCGAGCGCUGUCCGGAAUCACUGGGUGUAAAGCGCGUGUAGGCGGCCUGCCAAGUCUGCUGUGAAAGCGCCUGGCUUAACCGGGCGAGGUCGGUGGGAACUGGCGGGCUGGAGGACGGUAGAGGGGGGUGGAAUUCCACGUGUAGCAGUGAAAUGCGUAGAGAUGCGGAGGAACACCGAUGGCGAAGGCAGCCCCCUGGGCUAACACUGACGCUCAGGCACGAAAGCGUGGGGAGCAAACAGG
RNAcentral lists this ribosomal RNA (253 nucleotides) under uncultured bacterium. RNAcentral describes it as "partial 16S ribosomal RNA". It matches the Rfam family "Bacterial small subunit ribosomal RNA", at positions 524 to 776 of the family's 1533-position model. The record is from RNAcentral.